Molecule: ribosomal RNA, 472 nt
Filed under: uncultured bacterium
Lineage: Bacteria
Description: bacterial SSU rRNA
Rfam family: Bacterial small subunit ribosomal RNA
Source: RNAcentral
AGAGUUUGAUCAUGGCUCAGAACGAACGCUGGCGGCAUGCCUAACACAUGCAAGUCGAACGAGACCUUCGGGUCUAGUGGCGCACGGGUGCGUAACACGUGGGAAUCUGCCCAGGGGUAUGGAAUAACUCAGGGAAACUUGAGCUAAUGCCAUAUGAUGCCGCAAGGCCAAAGAUUUAUCGCCCUUGGAUGAGCCCGCGUAGGAUUAGCUAGUUGGUGGGGUAAAGGCCUACCAAGGCUACGAUCCUUAGCUGGUCUGAGAGGAUGAUCAGCCACACUGGGACUGAGACACGGCCCAGACUCCUACGGGAGGCAGCAGUGGGGAAUAUUGGACAAUGGGCGAAAGCCUGAUCCAGCAAUGCCGCGUGAGUGAAGAAGGCCUUCGGGUUGUAAAGCUCUUUUACCCGGGACGAUAAUGACGGUACCGGGAGAAUAAGCCCCGGCUAACUCCGUGCCAGCCGCCGCGGUAAUUC